CGUAACGCUUGAAUGUUAUAGCAUGGAACGAAUAACCUGACCUAGUUCAGUUAGUUGGUUCUCUGAACCGGGUCCUGAUUAAAAGGGACAUUUGAGGGCGUUAGUACUUGGUGGCGAGAGGUGAAAUUCUUAGACCCACCAAAGACUCACUAAUGCGAAAGCAUUCGCCAAGAAUGUUUUCAUUGAUCAAGAACGAAAGUUAGAGGUUCGAAGACGAUCAGAUACCGUCCUAGUUCUAUACAGUAAACUAUGCCACCACGGGAUCAGUCCGGAAAACGAUCCAGGUUGGUCCCCCAAGGAAACUUGAAGUGUUCGGGUUCCGGGGGGAGUACAGUCGCAAGUCCGAAACUUAAAGGAAUUGACGGAAGGGCACCACCAGGAGUGGAGCCUGCGGCUUAAUUUGACUCAACACGGGGCAACUCACCAGGUCCAGACAUUGAAAGGAUUGACAGACUGAUAGAUCUUUCAAGAUCCAAUGAUUGGUGGUGCAUGGCCGUUCUUAGUUGGUGGAGUGAUCUGUCAGGUCUAUUCCGGUAACGAGCGAGACCACGAUCUCUAUUUGAUUGCAGCUAUAUAUGUUAUAGUUGGUCAUAGAGAGACUACCGGAUUACAAGCCGGGGGAAGCGUGGCAAUAACAGGUCUGUGAUGCCCUUCGAUGUUCUGGGCCGCACGCGCGCUACAAUGGCAGUGACAACAAGUGUCUGCUUUGAGAAAAGUGGAGAAUCUUGACAAUCGCUGUCGUGAUUGGGAUUGAGCCUUGUAAUAAUUGCUCAUGAAAGAGGAAUUCCUCGUAAGCGCGAGUCACCAACUCGUGUUGAAUACGUCUCUGCCCUUUGUACACACCGCCCGUCGCUACUACCGAUUGAAUGGCUUUUCGAGAACUCGGGAUUGGUGAUCGCAAGGUCACCGAGAGCUGGUUCAAGGAAAGGUAUUUAGAGGAAGUAAAAGUCGUAACAAGGUUU
RNAcentral lists this ribosomal RNA (962 nucleotides) under Myxidium bergense. Its description in RNAcentral is "SSU rRNA". It matches the Rfam family "Eukaryotic small subunit ribosomal RNA", at positions 787 to 1802 of the family's 1831-position model. The record is from RNAcentral. Lineage: Eukaryota; Metazoa; Cnidaria; Myxozoa; Bivalvulida; Myxidiidae.